CCGUGAUGGACUAACCGUCUGUCGCUGGGAAGAAGCUUAACUUGGGGGAAACUGCCACGAAAAUAAAACUUUAAUAUAAGUUUGCCUUUCUUUAAUUUUGUUAUUUUAGAAAUUUAAAUUAUUAAUUUAAUUUUUUCCUAGUCCCUUAUCCUAAAGAUGAGGAGACAUAGGUAGGUAGUUUUUAUUUAUAUAUUUUUAUUUUAGUAUAAAAAAUAAUAAUUUUUGCAUUAAAAAAACACUUAUAUUAAGCUAUUUAGUAUCUGUUAACCCAUUUAAGUAACAUCUCAAAAGUCAUAGCAAGGUAGCUUGGUACUGGG
RNAcentral lists this ribosomal RNA (317 nucleotides) under Pleurotus sp. PLHP-9. Its description in RNAcentral is "partial small subunit ribosomal RNA". Lineage: Eukaryota; Fungi; Basidiomycota; Agaricomycetes; Agaricales; Pleurotaceae. The record is from RNAcentral.